GAUGAACGCUGGCGGCGUGCCUAAUACAUGCAAGUCGAGCGAACAGACGAGGAGCUUGCUCCUCUGACGUUAGCGGCGGACGGGUGAGUAAUACGUGGAUAACCUACCUAUAAGACUGGGAUAACUUCGGGGAACCGGAGCUAAUACCGGAUAAUAUAUUGAACCGCAUGGUUCAAUAGUGAAAGACGGUUUUGCUGUCCCUUAUAGAUGGAUCCGCGCCGCAUUAGCUAGUUGGUAAGGUAACGGCUUACCAAGGCGACGAUGCGUAGCCGACCUGAGAGGGUGAUCGGCCACACUGGAACUGAGACACGGUCCAGACUCCUACGGGAGGCAGCAGUAGGGAAUCUUCCGCAAUGGGCGAAAGCCUGACGGAGCAACGCCGCGUGAGUGAAGAAGGUCUUCGGAUCGUAAAACUCUGUUAGUAGGGAAGAACAAAUGUGUAAGUAACUAUGCACGUCUUGACGGUACCUAAUCAGAAAGCCACGGCUAACUACGUG
Molecule: ribosomal RNA, 497 nt
Filed under: uncultured bacterium
Lineage: Bacteria
Description: partial 16S ribosomal RNA
Rfam family: Bacterial small subunit ribosomal RNA
Source: RNAcentral